RNAcentral lists this ribosomal RNA (322 nucleotides) under uncultured eukaryote. RNAcentral describes it as "partial 18S ribosomal RNA". It matches the Rfam family "Eukaryotic small subunit ribosomal RNA", at positions 1470 to 1796 of the family's 1831-position model. The record is from RNAcentral.
CCCUUAGAUGUUCUGGGCCGCACGCGCGCUACACUGAUGCGUUCAACAAGUUUCCUUGGCCGAGAGGCCUGGGCAAUCUUCUUAAUAUGUAUCGUGAUAGGGAUAGAUUAUUGCAAUUAUUAAUCUUGAACGAGGAAUUCCUAGUAAACGCAGAUCAUCAAUCUGCAUUGAUUACGUCCCUGCCCUUUGUACACACCGCCCGUCGCACCUACCGAUUGGAUGUUCCGGUGAAGCCUCGGGAUGAGGACUGGUGUCUUUAUUGGCAUGAGUUGUUCAGAACUUGUCUAAACCUUAUCAUCUAGAGGAAGGUGAAGUCGUAACA